Molecule: ribosomal RNA, 369 nt
Filed under: Granulicatella adiacens
Lineage: Bacteria; Bacillati; Bacillota; Bacilli; Lactobacillales; Carnobacteriaceae
Description: bacterial SSU rRNA
Rfam family: Bacterial small subunit ribosomal RNA
Source: RNAcentral
CGAACGGGUGAGUAACACGUGGGUAAUCUGCCCAUCAGAGGGGGAUAACAUCCGGAAACGGAUGCUAAAACCGCAUAGGUCUUCGAACCGCAUGGUUUGAAGAGGAAAAGAGGCGCAAGCUUCUGCUGAUGGAUGGACCCGCGGUGCAUUAGCUAGUUGGUGAGGUAACGGCUCACCAAGGCCGUGAUGCAUAGCCGACCUGAGAGGGUGAUCGGCCACAUUGGGACUGAGACACGGCCCAAACUCCUACGGGAGGCAGCAGUAGGGAAUCUUCCGCAAUGGACGCAAGUCUGACGGAGCAACGCCGCGUGAGUGAAGAAGGUUUUCGGAUCGUAAAACUCUGUUGUUAGAGAAGAACAAGUGCUAGAG